Molecule: ribosomal RNA, 642 nt
Filed under: Tetranychus evansi (red spider mite)
Lineage: Eukaryota; Metazoa; Arthropoda; Arachnida; Trombidiformes; Tetranychidae
Description: 12S ribosomal RNA
Source: RNAcentral
AAUUUAAUUUUAAUUAAAUAAUUUUAAAUUAUAUAUAAGCAAAAAUAUAUAUGUAAUAAAAAAAAUUAAUAAAUUUUUUUAAAUUAAUAAAAUAUUAUUUUAUAGCGUGCCAGCAAAAAAAUGCGGUUAAACGAUUAAUUUAAAUUAUUUCAUAUAAUAAACUAAAAAAUAAAUAAUAAGAAAAAAUUAUAGUAAAACAUAAUUUUAAAAUUUAUUUAAAAAGUUAAAAUUUAAAAAAAAAUUAAUUGGAUUAGAUACCCAAGUAAAAAAACUUUUAAGUAUUAAACUAAUAAAGUUAAACUAGAAAUAUAUUGGCGGUAAAAUAUUAUAAUUAAAGGGUCUUGAUUUUUAAUAGAAGGUACACAAUAAAAAAAACUUUUAUUAUAAAUUUAUAUAUCUCCGUAGAAAAAAUAUCAUUUUUUUUUUUUAAAAAAAAAUUUUCAAAUACAGGUCAAGAUAUAGUUUAAAUAAAAGAAAAAUUUAGACACAAAAAAAAAUUAAUAAAAAAAAUAGAAUUUAAAAGUAAUUUUAAUUUUUAUAAAAAAAAAUGAAAUAUUUAUUUUAUGUACAUAUUGCCCAUCGCUUUCAUUUUAAAAUGAAAUAAGUUGAAACAUAGUAGAAAUAUAAGAAUAUGUUUCUAAA